AAUAAAGAAAAUAAAAUGUUUCAAAUUAUGAAAAAGAAGAAUUAAAGUUGGGAAAUAUUGGAUUCAAUCGAUAUGGCGACAUAAAAGACAUCAAGAAAUAUACUGGUGUCAGAAUUUGGAGUACAAUACGUUGUUUUGAAGAUAAUCACGAGCAAAACAAGACUUAUGGAUAUACAAUGAACCUGUCAUGUUUAGGGGUGAAAUUUUUGUCAAAUUACCAUAC
This 223-nucleotide long non-coding RNA is filed under the name Malus domestica (apple). RNAcentral describes it as "long non-coding RNA (MDOM_LNC007885)". Lineage: Eukaryota; Viridiplantae; Streptophyta; Magnoliopsida; Rosales; Rosaceae. The record is from RNAcentral.